UACGGGGGAUGCGAGCGUUAUCCGGAUUUAUUGGGUUUAAAGGGUGCGUAGGCGGGAUGCCAAGUCAGCGGUAAAAAUGCGGUGCUCAACGCCGUCGAGCCAUUGAAACUGGCGUUCUUGAGUGGGCGAGAAGUAUGCGGAAUGCGUGGUGUAGCGGUGAAAUGCAUAGAUAUCACGCAGAACUCCGAUUGCGAAGGCAGCAUACCGGCGCCCUACUGACGCUGAGGCACGAAAGCGUGGGUAUCGAACAGG
This 252-nucleotide ribosomal RNA is filed under the name uncultured bacterium. RNAcentral describes it as "partial 16S ribosomal RNA". It matches the Rfam family "Bacterial small subunit ribosomal RNA", at positions 524 to 776 of the family's 1533-position model. The record is from RNAcentral.